This 344-nucleotide unclassified non-coding RNA is filed under the name Hevea brasiliensis (rubber tree). Lineage: Eukaryota; Viridiplantae; Streptophyta; Magnoliopsida; Malpighiales; Euphorbiaceae. The record is from RNAcentral.
CAGCCAGUAAAAUACCUUGAUGAUGGUGGGCGUGAUGAACCUGUCCCACUGGAAGAGAUCCUGGAAAUGAAACAUGGGCUUUCUCCAGAUGAGGCGCAAAAGAUCUAGGGCGGGAGGCGAAUCAGCGACCGGCUGAAUCGCUCCGGAUGGUGAAGGUUGUCGCAUAUCGCCGAAAAGGACGGAAGAUGACCGCGAAACGCAUGGCUUGAGGUGUCCUGAAAUAACGGCCAAACUGCGCCAAUCCACAACGCGAUUGAAAUGAUGAAACUGACAUUCGAAGACUUCAAGCCCGGCCAUUUCGGCACCUUCGGCCCGCACCAUGUCUCCCGCGACGAUAUUAUCGC